This 640-nucleotide long non-coding RNA is filed under the name Trifolium pratense (red clover). RNAcentral describes it as "long non-coding RNA (TPRA_LNC012625)". The record is from RNAcentral. Lineage: Eukaryota; Viridiplantae; Streptophyta; Magnoliopsida; Fabales; Fabaceae.
GGGAAUUAAGAUUGAAGGAGCUUAUUUUCCUUUGUUUCUAAUUGUAUGUGUACUAGUUAUAUGUGUGCACAACAACAUAUCACAUCAUUUUUAUCGUUUCCAAACAAGGUAUCAACAACCUCACAUCUUAAGUUUUUAUUCACAAUAUGUUUCUGAUUCUUGAAAAAUUUGCCAAUUGGCUUCAGACCUGUGAAUUUCUUUUUAGUGUUGUUGUUCAAGACAACAAACACUUCAUUUUUCUGAUCUUGCUUUCUAGCUUCUUCUUCAAUGCGAAGACAUGUUAUCAGACAUUUGAGGGAAUAUUGUUUAGCCAUUUUUAUCCUUAUUAGCAUGUUCUCUUUUUAAAGUAAAAUUGGAAUGUCUUUCUUCAAAACAAUAGCAACUCUGUUGUUAUUAUAAAAGCAUAUUUUUUGUUGCCAAUAUUUGAAGUGAUUUCCUUCAAACCGAAAUGGUUUGUUCUAGCUAGCAACAUCAUAAUUUGAGCCAGUAAUUUCUCCGGUAGACAUUGCAGAAAGAAACGUCUUAAAAUUGUUGUUUCCGAGGUUCAAAAUCGUUAAAAAUAAUUUUCAGCCACCGAAGAGAUUACUGGACUGAGUCGCGGGUGAAUACGCUUUCUUUAAGACGUUUCGCGGCACUGCCC